Molecule: ribosomal RNA, 785 nt
Filed under: Alteromonas sp.
Lineage: Bacteria; Pseudomonadati; Pseudomonadota; Gammaproteobacteria; Alteromonadales; Alteromonadaceae
Description: bacterial SSU rRNA
Rfam family: Bacterial small subunit ribosomal RNA
Source: RNAcentral
GGCGGACGGGUGAGUAAUGCUUGGGAACUUGCCUUUGCGAGGGGGAUAACAGUUGGAAACGACUGCUAAUACCGCAGAAUGUCUACGGACCAAACGGGGCUUAGGCUCCGGCGCACAGAGAGGCCCAAGUGAGAUUAGCUAGAUGGUGAGGUAAAGGCUCACCAUGGCGACGAUCUCUAGCUGUUCUGAGAGGAAGAUCAGCCACACUGGGACUGAGACACGGCCCAGACUCCUACGGGAGGCAGCAGUGGGGAAUAUUGCACAAUGGGGGAAACCCUGAUGCAGCCAUGCCGCGUGUGUGAAGAAGGCCUUCGGGUUGUAAAGCACUUUCAGUUGUGAGGAAAAGUUGGUAGUUAAUACCUGCCAGCCGUGACGUUAACAACAGAAGAAGCACCGGCUAACUCCGUGCCAGCAGCCGCGGUAAUACGGAGGGUGCGAGCGUUAAUCGGAAUUACUGGGCGUAAAGCGCACGCAGGCGGUUUGUUAAGCUAGAUGUGAAAGCCCCGGGCUCAACCUGGGAUGGUCAUUUAGAACUGGCAGACUAGAGUCUUGGAGAGGGGAGUGGAAUUCCAGGUGUAGCGGUGAAAUGCGUAGAUAUCUGGAGGAACAUCAGUGGCGAAGGCGACUCCCUGGCCAAAGACUGACGCUCAUGUGCGAAAGUGUGGGUAGCGAACAGGAUUAGAUACCCUGGUAGUCCACACCGUAAACGCUGUCUACUAGCUGUGUGUGAAUUUAAUUCGUGCGUAGCGAAGCUAACGCGCUAAGUAGACCGCCUGGGGAGUACG